Molecule: non-coding RNA, 236 nt
Filed under: Ligilactobacillus salivarius
Lineage: Bacteria; Bacillati; Bacillota; Bacilli; Lactobacillales; Lactobacillaceae
Description: Lactobacillus salivarius T-box sequence
Rfam family: T-box leader
About the family: Uncharged tRNA acts as the effector for transcription antitermination of genes in the T-box leader family. T-boxes are found upstream of many aminoacyl-tRNA synthetase genes and some amino acid biosynthetic genes usually in Gram-positive bacteria.
Source: RNAcentral
UAAAACACAAUGAAAAGAAGAGUAACUUUAUUAAAUACUUCAGAGAAUCUCUGGUUGGUGAAAAGAGAUAGUUACUAAUAAAGCGAAUAUCACUUUGAGUGCCAUAAUGAAUUUUAGUAGUUAUUGGUGGGUUAGCCCAUUACAGCUAUGUGUAGUUAAAAAAACAGCUACAUACCGAGUUUAUGAGUGCGAAUUCAUAUUGAAUAUAAGGUGGUAUCACGCUAAGCGUCCUUUAG